This 859-nucleotide ribosomal RNA is filed under the name uncultured bacterium. RNAcentral describes it as "bacterial SSU rRNA". It matches the Rfam family "Bacterial small subunit ribosomal RNA", at positions 674 to 1533 of the family's 1533-position model. The record is from RNAcentral.
UGUAGCGGUGAAAUGCGUAGAUAUCAGGAGGAAUACCGGUGGUGUAGACGGCUCUCUGGACCGUAACUGACACUGAAACACGAAAGCGUGGGUAGCAAACAGGAUUAGAUACCCUGGUAGUCCACGCCCUAAACGAUGCACAUUUGGUGUAGGUCAUUCAGUUGAUCUGUGCCGGAGCUAACGCGUUAAAUGUGCCGCCUGGGGAGUACAGUCGCAAGGCUGAAACUCAAAGGAAUUGACGGGGGCCCGCACAAGCGGUGGAGCAUGUGGUUCAAUUCGACGCAACGCGAAGAACCUUACCUGGGCUCGAACGGCUGGUCAACGACUGUGGAAACACGGUUACUCCGCAAGGGGGUCCAGUCGAGGUGCUGCAUGGCUGUCGUCAGCUCGUGUCGUGAGAUGUUGGGUUAAGUCCCGCAACGAGCGCAACCCUUGUCCUGUGUUGCCAUGCCGAAAGGCGGAACUCGCAGGAGACCGCCAGCGAUAAGCUGGAGGAAGGUGGGGAUGACGUCAAGUCCUCAUGGCCUUUAUGUCCAGGGCUACACACGUGCUACAAUGGCCGGUACAAAGCGCUGCUAAGUCGCAAGACGGAGCCAAUCGCAAAAAACCGGUCUCAGUUCGGAUUGCAGGCUGCAACUCGCCUGCAUGAAGCUGGAAUCGCUAGUAAUGGCAGAUCAGAACGCUGCCGUGAAUACGUUCCCGGGCCUUGUACACACCGCCCGUCACAUCACGAAAGUGGAUUGUACUAGAAGUCCGCUGGCUGACCGCAAGGAGGCCGCGGCCCAAGGUAUGAUUCAUGAUUGGGGUGAAGUCGUAACAAGGUAGCCGUAGGAGAACCUGCGGCUGGAUCACCUCCUUA